Long non-coding RNA from Pseudoliparis swirei, 474 nucleotides. RefSeq lists it as uncharacterized. The record is from RefSeq and is a predicted model, not a curated record. The transcript has 2 exons. NCBI's taxonomy places the organism in Eukaryota, Metazoa, Chordata, Actinopteri, Perciformes, Liparidae.
CAUUCUGUUCCAUGAGACUCUGGACCAGACCACCGCGAGCAGACAGCUGGACUUCAUGUGCGUUAUUGGUGAAAUGACCAGGUCCCGUCAGGAUCCUCUGGAGCUCAUGGGCCAUGACACGCCCAGGACCUACUUCAGCACCUCAAAGAGAAUGGACCAAAUGUCAACUGGAAGUUUUUAUAUUAAUACAGUUUGAAAAGGAUUGUUUUCCUAGUAUAUUCACAAAAGCUCAGGAGUAGACAUGAACCUGUGCACAAACAUCCAUCACAUAGAGACAUAACACACACACAUACAUUCUAUUAUGUAAAUGAAUUUGCAUUUUAAAAGCAGCUGGAAUUGUUAUUUUAUAGAUUUUUUUGUUCAAAAGGAACUAUGUUGCCUGUAUUUUUAAAAUAUAUUUACUUGAUAUAAGCAUUUGUUCAUGGGACUUAAAUGUUCUGAAAAUUUAUUAAUAAAUAUAAUUUACAACAGCAA